AAAAAAAUAUAACAAAUCAAGCCUGAAUUAUUCAAAGCUUGACUCAGCUCAUUUACACUCCUAUGCGCUACAAGACAUACGAUUAACCACCGGGCUACUAUCCUAAUGGUUGUAAAUUUAUAUAUUUUAAUAGUUUAUUGGCACACUCAUUAUGAGUAGGAGCGCAGGACCUUGAAGGUACAGUUUUAAAUAUGAAGUGGGGUUGUGAGUGAUUAGUACCUUGGUAAGAAGCUUUAGAAUUUAAAUAGGAAAAAAUAAAUAGUUUAUUAAAUUCAUUCUAGGUUAAGCUUCCAAAUAGCUCUCCUUCAAAAUUAAUCCAGUAUUCCAUAAGUUCUUUUCUUUUGCAUCAUCCUUGGAAUUCGGAAGAAACGAGAAUUAGCAAAAUAGCAUACCUCUUGCAGGAAUUGAACCCAG
RNAcentral lists this unclassified non-coding RNA (414 nucleotides) under Hevea brasiliensis (rubber tree). The record is from RNAcentral. Lineage: Eukaryota; Viridiplantae; Streptophyta; Magnoliopsida; Malpighiales; Euphorbiaceae.